RNAcentral lists this ribosomal RNA (465 nucleotides) under uncultured Klebsiella sp. RNAcentral describes it as "bacterial SSU rRNA". It matches the Rfam family "Bacterial small subunit ribosomal RNA", at positions 338 to 795 of the family's 1533-position model. Lineage: Bacteria; Pseudomonadati; Pseudomonadota; Gammaproteobacteria; Enterobacterales; Enterobacteriaceae. The record is from RNAcentral.
CCUACGGGUGGCAGCAGUGGGGAAUAUUGCACAAUGGGCGCAAGCCUGAUGCAGCCAUGCCGCGUGUGUGAAGAAGGCCUUCGGGUUGUAAAGCACUUUCAGCGGGGAGGAAGGCGGUGAGGUUAAUAACCUCAUCGAUUGACGUUACCCGCAGAAGAAGCACCGGCUAACUCCGUGCCAGCAGCCGCGGUAAUACGGAGGGUGCAAGCGUUAAUCGGAAUUACUGGGCGUAAAGCGCACGCAGGCGGUCUGUCAAGUCGGAUGUGAAAUCCCCGGGCUCAACCUGGGAACUGCAUUCGAAACUGGCAGGCUAGAGUCUUGUAGAGGGGGGUAGAAUUCCAGGUGUAGCGGUGAAAUGCGUAGAGAUCUGGAGGGAUACCGGUGGCGAAGGCGGCCCCCUGGACAAAGACUGACGCUCAGGUGCGAAAGCGUGGGGAGCAAACAGGAUUAGAUACCCCGGUAGUC